RNAcentral lists this ribosomal RNA (502 nucleotides) under uncultured bacterium. Its description in RNAcentral is "bacterial SSU rRNA". It matches the Rfam family "Bacterial small subunit ribosomal RNA", at positions 355 to 870 of the family's 1533-position model. The record is from RNAcentral.
UGGGGAAUCUUGCACAAUGGGCGAAAGCCUGAUGCAGCAACGCCGCGUGCGGGAAGACAGCCCUAGGGUUGUAAACCGCUUUCAGCAGGGAAGAAACUGACGGUACCUGCAGAAGAAGAUGCGGCCAACUACGUGCCAGCAGCCGCGGGUGACACGUAGGCAUCAAGCGUUAUCCGGAUUUAUUGGGCGUAAAGAGCUCGUAGGCGGUUCGGUAAGUCGGGUGUGAAAACUCUGGGCUCAACCCAGAGAGGCCACUCGAUACUGCUGUGACUAGAGUGCGGUAGGGGAGCGGGGAAUUCCUGGUGUAGCGGUGAAAUGCGCAGAUAUCAGGAGGAACACCAGUGGCGAAGGCGCCGCUCUGGGCCGUAACUGACGCUGAGGAGCGAAAGCAUGGGUAGCAAACAGGAUUAGAUACCCUGGUAGUCCACGCCGUAAACGGUGGCGCUAGGUGUGGGGAUCGUUUCCACGAUCUCCAGUGCCGUAGCUAACGCAUUAAGCGCCC